Long non-coding RNA from Onychostoma macrolepis, 917 nucleotides. RefSeq lists it as uncharacterized. NCBI's taxonomy places the organism in Eukaryota, Metazoa, Chordata, Actinopteri, Cypriniformes, Cyprinidae. The record is from RefSeq and is a predicted model, not a curated record. The transcript has 5 exons.
AACAAGUGGGUUUUAUUUAAACAGAUGUAUUGAGCAGACUGGAGAGGUGAGUGGAUAAUCUUGUGUAGAGUAAUUCGGGUAGUUGUGACAAGAUGGUGAUAACUUCUCUUUUCCCAGGGGUAUUGGAAGACGAGACGAGACGAGGGGAUCCAGGUUGACACACACACUUCGAGACUUGGAACUCUACUUGGAGAGGACAACACAAGGAGGAAGAAUACAGGAGGUAAGUCAAACAAGGCAAGUAUACUUUCUUGGAAGGCUAUGGUCUUUGAUAGCAGGCUAUGGUCUUUGAUAGCAGGCUACAGCGUCAUCAGAGUCCACGUUGAGAAACGAGAUCGGACAGUGAAGUGAGUGUGUGAGGAUCUUUUCUAGCGGGUGUUGAUGAGGCUGUGAUCAGGUGCAGGUGUGCGUGAUUAGAACUCUGGAGAGGUGGAACGCUGUGAUUGGUGGAGUGAAGGGCCUGACUGAUCUGUGACAGGUUUAUUAUGAGCUCCUCUUGCUGUCUGCAGGCCGUCCUCCUGUUCUGUCCACCGCUGAGGCUGUAGGGAUUGUGACUGCUGUAGUGAUCAUCACUCUGAUUAUAGCUGUUGUGGGACGAGCUGGCAGCACUUUCAGUUAUUACACAACUCAGAGCCCCAGUGACCUACAACAGGAUGUCACAUAUUCUGAUGCCACAAUACUGAAACCAGGCAAAGCUAACAGAAGCACCUCAUCAUCAGGGGACAUUGAAUACGCUGUGGUUUCCUUCAGUGGUCGAUCAGAAUCAUCAUCACUGCGAGCCUCAGCCAAUCAGAUGGCUUUGGGUUUCCACACAGCAGAGCAGGAAACUGUGUACGCAGAGUGAGAAUGGACUGAUUGCCACCUUUCCCGAUCCCGCCCCCUUUCUCUCUCCCACUGCGCUUCCAGUCAAAACUUAC